AGAGUUUGAUCCUGGCUCAGGAUGAACGCUAGCGGCGUGCUUAACACAUGCAAGUCGAACGAGCCUUCGGACUAGUGGCGGACGGGUGAGUAACGCGUGGGAAUCUGCCCUCAGGAGGGGGAUAACGGCCGGAAACGGCCGCUAAUACCCCAUAUGCCGAGAGGUGAAACGAAAUUCGCCGGGGGAUGAGCCCGCGUCUGAUUAACUAGUUGGUGUGGUAAUGGCUCACCAAGGCAUCGAUCAGUAGCUGGUCUGAGAGGAUGAUCAGCCACACUGGGACUGAGACACGGCCCAGACUCCUACGGGAGGCAGCAGUGGGGAAUUUUCCGCAAUGGGCGCAAGCCUGACGGAGCAACGCCGCGUGAGGGACGAAGGCCUCUGGGCUGUAAACCUCUUUUCUCAAGGAAGAAGACAUGACGGUACUUGAGGAAUAAGCCACGGCUAAUUCCGUGCCAGCAGCCGCGGUAAUACGGGAGUGGCAAGCGUUAUCCGGAAUUAUUGGGCGUAAAGCGUCCGCAGGCGGCCUUGAAAGUCUGUUGUUAAAGCGUGGAGCUCAACUCCAUUUCAGCAAUGGAAACUACAAGGCUAGAGUGUGGUAGGGGCAGAGGGAAUUCCCGGUGUAGCGGUGAAAUGCGUAGAUAUCGGGAAGAACACCAGUGGCGAAGGCGCUCUGCUGGGCCAUAACUGACGCUCAUGGACGAAAGCCAGGGGAGCGAAAGGGAUUAGAUACCCCUGUAGUCCUGGCCGUAAACGAUGAACACUAGGUGUCGGGAGAAUUAACCCUUUCGGUGUCGUAGCCAACGCGUUAAGUGUUCCGCCUGGGGAGUACGCACGCAAGUGUGAAACUCAAAGGAAUUGACGGGGGCCCGCACAAGUGGUGGAGUAUGUGGUUUAAUUCGAUGCAACGCGAAGAACCUUACCAGGGUUUGACAUCCUGCGAAUCCCUUGGAAACUUGGGAGUGCCUUCGGGAGCGCAGUGACAGGUGGUGCAUGGCUGUCGUCAGCUCGUGUCGUGAGAUGUUGGGUUAAGUCCCGCAACGAGCGCAACCCACGUCUUUAGUUGCCAGCAUUCAGUUGGGCACUCUAGAGAGACCGCCGGUGAUAAACCGGAGGAAGGUGUGGAUGACGUCAAGUCAUCAUGCCCCUUACAUCCUGGGCUACACACGUACUACAAUGCUACGGACAAAGGGCAGCAAACUCGCGAGAGCUAGCAAAUCCCAUAAACCGUGGCUCAGUUCAGAUCGUAGGCUGCAACUCGCCUACGUGAAGGAGGAAUCGCUAGUAAUCGCAGGUCAGCAUACUGCGGUGAAUACGUUCCCGGGCCUUGUACACACCGCCCGUCACACCAUGGAAGUUGGCCAUGCCCGAAGUCGUUACUCCAACCCGCAAGGGAGGAG
RNAcentral lists this ribosomal RNA (1397 nucleotides) under metagenome. RNAcentral describes it as "bacterial SSU rRNA". It matches the Rfam family "Bacterial small subunit ribosomal RNA". The record is from RNAcentral.